This 126-nucleotide small nucleolar RNA is filed under the name Dipodomys ordii (Ord's kangaroo rat). RNAcentral's name for it is "Small nucleolar RNA SNORA70". It matches the Rfam family "Small nucleolar RNA SNORA70". From Rfam's summary of the family: snoRNA U70 seems to be exclusive to mammals and is a member of the H/ACA class of snoRNA which contain H (ANANNA) and ACA box motifs. H/ACA box snoRNAs are involved in the conversion of uridines to pseudouridines (5-ribosyluracil) a constituent of structural RNAs (transfer, ribosomal, small nuclear, and small nucleolar). Lineage: Eukaryota; Metazoa; Chordata; Mammalia; Rodentia; Heteromyidae. The record is from Rfam by way of RNAcentral.
UUGCAGAAAAGCAAUGUGUCUGUCUAAAAAGAGCUACAGUGUGCAUUGGUGGCACACAGCAGCCUCCUUGGUAAUACAAACCACCUAUUGCUUGUCUGUAAUGCCCUAAGGGCCUCCCAAAGACCA